AUAGGGCACCACAAGAACGCGUGGAGCAUGUGGCUUAAUUUGACUCAACCCGGGAAAUCUUACCAGGUCCAGACAUAUUGAGGAUUGACAGGCGAUAGUAUAUAAAAUAUAUUUUUAUAUGCAUAAAAAUGAUAGUCCUUUCAUGAUUAUAUGAUAGGUGGUGCAUGGCCGUUCUUAGUUCGUGGAGUGAUUUGUCUGCUUAAUUGCGUUUCAGUAAAUAAAAUAUAUAAUAUAUUAUAAUAUUUAGUUCUGCCAUUUAUUUAUGGAUUUAAAGUGAACAUAUUAUAUAUAUUAUUAUAUAAUAAAUGAAUGCAACGAACGUGACCGUAACCUUUUAUUGCUAUUGAAAAUUAUAAUUAUAGCAUAAAAUUAAAGGAACCGCUGUCAUUACUAAAUAUGUGUUAAAAUAGAGUAAGAUUAUGGCAAUAACAGGUCUGUGAUGCCCUCAGAUGUUCUGGGCUGCACACGUGCUACAAUAAUUACAUUAAUAAGUAUAUAUACUUUAUAAUAUAUAAUAUUAUAUUACAACCUAUUUCGAAAGUAAAUCGGUAAUCAUUUAAAAAUCGUGAUUAAUUAAUAUAAAUAUAAUUAAUUUAAUGUGGGGAUAGUGUAUUGUUAAUUAUUACACUUGGCCUUAACUAGGAAUGCCUUGUACUCUUCUUUGGUUUAACAUACCAAGAGGAAUACGUCCCUGCCCUUUGUACACACCGCCCGUCGCUCUUACCGAUGAAUUAUAUUAUAAAUCUAAGGGAUUUAUUAUAAUUAAAAUAUAAAAAACUUAUAUACAUAAUGUGAUUUAAAGGAAAGAGAAGUCGAACAAGGCA
RNAcentral lists this ribosomal RNA (824 nucleotides) under Sorites orbiculus. RNAcentral describes it as "SSU rRNA". It matches the Rfam family "Eukaryotic small subunit ribosomal RNA", at positions 1159 to 1801 of the family's 1831-position model. Lineage: Eukaryota; Foraminifera; Miliolida; Soritidae. The record is from RNAcentral.